Molecule: RNA transcript, 3268 nt
Organism: Panicum virgatum (switchgrass)
Lineage: Eukaryota; Viridiplantae; Streptophyta; Magnoliopsida; Poales; Poaceae
Gene name: coatomer subunit beta-1-like
Exons: 5
Source: RefSeq, a predicted model, not a curated record
AUCUCACGCGCUCGUCUUCCUCGUCCGUCCCAGAUCCGAUCUCCCCUCCCUGGAGGAGGCCCAGCCAGAUCCCCCGACAUCGGCCGAUCCGGCGGCCAUGGAGAAGCCGUGCACCCUCCUGGUGCACUUCGAUAAGGGCUCGCCGGCGAUGGCGAACGAGAUCAAGGCGGAGCUCGAGUCCGGCGACGGCCCCGCCAAGGCCGACGCCAUGCGCCGCGCCAUCUCGCUCCUCCUCAACGGCGAGCCCCUCCCGCACCUCUUCAUCACCGUCGUCCGCUACGUCCAGUCCUGCGACGACCACGCCGUCCAGAAGCUCCUCCUCCUCUACCUCGAGACCGUCGACAAGCGCGACGCCGCCACGGGCAAGGUCCUCCCGGAGAUGAUCCUCAUCUGCCAGAACCUCCGCAACAACCUCCAGAGCCCCAACGAGUACAUCCGCGGCGUCACGCUGCGCUUCCUCUGCCGCCUCGCCGAGCCCGAGCUGCUCGAGCCGCUCGUCCCCUCCAUCCUCGCCAACCUCGACCACCGCCACCACUUCGUGCGCCGCCACGCGCUCUCCGCCGUCGCCGCCAUCUACCGCCGCCAGCACGGGGACCAGCUCAUCCCCGACGCGCCGGAGCUCGUCGAGCGCUCCCUCGCCUCCGAGCAGGACGCCGCCGCGCGCAGGAACGCCUUCCUCAUGCUCCUCGCCAGCGCGCAGGACCGCGCCGUUGCCUACCUCCUCACCAACGCCGACCGCGUCGCGGAGUGGCCCGAUCUGCUGCAGAUGGCCGCCGUCGACCUCAUCUGCAAGGUCUGCGGCCCCAAGGGGGGCCGAGCCGACAAGGGGAGGUAUAUCAAGAUCAUCAUCUCCCUCCUCUCAGCGCCCAGCUCCGCCGUCGUCUAUGAGUGCGCGGGGGCGCUCGUGUCCCUCUCUUCCGCGCCCACCGCAGUGCGUGCCGCCGCCAACACAUACUGCCAGCUGCUCUCCUCGCAGAGCGACAACAAUGUGAAGCUCAUCAUCCUGGACCGUCUGCACGAGCUGCGCGCCUCGCAUAGGGAGGUGAUGGUGGAUGUGGUCAUGGAUGUGCUGCGUGCACUGGGCAGCCCCAAUGUGGAUGUCAGGAAGAAGGUGCUUGACUUAGUGCUGGAUCUGCUCACCCCGCGGAAUGUGGAGGAGGUGGUGCUCUACCUCAAGAAGGAGGUGGUUAAGACGCAGGCUGCUGAGGUUGAGAAGGGUGGUGAAUACCGCCAGAUGCUGGUGCAGGCCAUUCAUUCCUGUGCCAAGAAGUACCCAGAGGUGGCUGCAUCAGUUGUGCAUCUGCUCAUGGACUUCCUUGGGGACCCUAAUGUUGCUGCGGCACAUGAUGUUGUUUUGUUUGUGCGUGAGAUCAUAGAGACCAACCCCAAGCUCCGUGUAUCCAUUAUCCAGAGGCUAAUUGACACAUUCUAUCAGAUCCGGGCAUCCCGUGUCUGCAUUUGUGCUCUCUGGAUCCUUGCAGAGUACGCCCUGUCGCUGUCUGAGGUUGAGAGCGCCAUUUCCACUAUCAAGCAAUGUGUUGGGGAUCUCCCGUUCUACACUGUCUCUGAGGAAGGAGAGACAACUGAUUCCUCCAAGCCAUCCCAGCCAGUGGUGAACUCUGUCACUGUGUCUUCAAGAAGGCCUGCUGUUCUUGCUGAUGGUACUUAUGCCACACAGAGUGCUGCCACUGAGACUGCUAUUUCAGCUCCAGCAGCGUCUCUUGGGUCAUUGGCUUCCACCCAAAAUCUCAGAUCUCUUAUUCUGUCUGGUGAUUUCUUUUUGGCUGCUGCUGUUGCCAGUAAUCUGACCAAGCUUGUGUUGAGGCUGGAGGAGGUUCAGCCAUCAAAGGUUGAAGCAAACAAGGCUUCUACUGGAGCCUUGUUGAUCAUGGUGUCCAUUCUGCAGUUGGGAGAGUCAUCUUACCUCCCACACCCUAUUGACAAUGAUUCACAUGCUAGGAUUGUUCUCUGUGUGAGGAUUCUAUGCAAUCCUGGUGAUGAUGUUAGGAAGGUUUGGUUGCAGUCAUGUCGCCAGAGCUUUGUCAACAUGCUUGCUGAGAAGCAAUUUAGGGAGACUGAGGAGAUGAAGGCUAAGGCACAGAUAUCUCAUGCCCAACCAGAUGAUCUUAUUGAUUUCUAUCACCUAAAGAGCAGGAUGGGAAUGAGCCAACUUGAGUUGGAAGAUGCAGUUCAAGAUGAUUUGAAGGCUGCAACCGGUCAAUUCACUAAGGAUGCAGAUGAUACCAACAAACUAAAUCGAAUUCUUCAGUUGACCGGAUUCAGCGAUCCAGUCUAUGCUGAAGCAUUUGUAACUGUUCAUCAUUAUGAUAUUGUACUUGAUGUAACAGUCAUAAACCGAACAAAAGAGACACUUCAGAACUUGUGCUUGGAGUUGGCAACAAUGGGCGACUUAAAACUUGUUGACCGCCCCCAAAACUAUACAUUGGCCCCAGAGUCAAGCAAGCAAAUUCGAGCCAAUAUCAAGGUUUCAUCAACAGAGACUGGAGUUAUAUUCGGUAACAUAGUCUAUGAAACAUCAAAUGUGAUGGAACGAUCAGUGGUGGUCCUAAACGAUAUUCACAUUGAUAUCAUGGAUUACAUCUCACCUGCAACAUGUGCUGAUGUUGCUUUCCGGAACAUGUGGGCAGAAUUUGAGUGGGAAAAUAAGGUGGCGGUGAAUACAGUGAUUCAGGAUGAGAAGGAGUUCUUAGAUCAUAUUAUCAAGUCAACAAACAUGAAGUGUCUAACACCACUAUCUGCACUUGAUGGAGAAUGUGGGUUCCUUGCUGCAAACCUUUAUGCCAAGAGUGUGUUUGGCGAGGACGCUCUGGUGAACAUCAGCAUUGAGAAGCAGCCCGAUGGCAAGUUGAGCGGCUACAUCAGAAUUAGGAGCAAGACCCAAGGAAUAGCGCUCAGCUUAGGAGACAAGAUUACCCUAAAACAAAAGGGUGGCAGCAGCUAGCCGCUUGUGCCACAUGUAUAUCACCCCACACAUAUACCAUAAAGCUCCCAUUGAAGUCAAUUUUUGCUACCUUCCCAACAAUUUUCAGGUGUUGGCAAGUUAUUAUGACAGGUGGUAGUAGAGGUAUCCACCCUAUAUGGACAGGAUUGUGUAGCUUUGUGUUGUUCUAGCUUACAAAACAAAGAGCUUUGUUAUACUUACUGAUUUCAUGAAUCCUGAUUUCUAUCUGAUUCGAUGUCAUGUAUCAAAUAAUAAAGUGAUUAUAGAUUCUUUUCUUUGUUGCAAGCACACGCUUGCUACGAUCUU